AGGCGCCGCUACCCUGAGAUCCCCGAGUUCUGAGAAGCUUCGGCUAGUGAAGACACCCCAGAGGAUGAGACCCAACGUGGAGACAGAGAGAAGCUAUGGAGUGUGGAGACAUCAGAAAUUCUGGAAUUACUGACCUCGCGGAAGCUACUGGUUAGUCGUUGAAGCAACAGAACAAAGCAUGUAUGCGGAUAAUCCAGACCAGCCGUGGGGGAGAAAUCUGUCUACCCGUCCAAGAGCUUGAGAUUUUAAUAUUCUACAAACUAACUCUAUCAAAAGAUAUGAGGAACAGAGCUGUGAGGUAAUACGAUGUCUUGAGAACUUCCCUCCGUGUACCGGGCCAUCAUUUUGUAAACGGGCACAGUCGUACGUCAGACUUACAACACUGUACUGUUGACGAGGCUCUACUUCAGCCGCAGUAACUGAAACUCCAACAUGGAAUCGGAACCAUGGAUCCCUAUAUGUUGUGGUAUUUGAGUUGCUGAACGAAUACCAUAGUGGAGACAGUUCACACUCCUUCAUUUUGACUCAUGAAAAAACUCAUGAUUCUUCUUGAAUGGAACAAGCUUCUUUACUCAGACAAUGGAUCCUUCACAGCGAACGUAUUAGCAUAAUUUUCUUCAAAACCAUGUUUCAGAAGAAACAGUGAGUCUGGGGCCUGGAGCCUCAUCAAGGUUUCUGUGCACAGCUCUGGAAGGCUGUCAGGACUUUGUGAUGGUGACAGGGUAAACCGCCAUAAAUCCCCUCCAUAAACAAAGGAAAGCUACGGACUUAAAUCUGGUAGAACGAAAAAUGUCCACUGCAGGAAAUAUUAGUGUGCCUGUCUUUUCUGGCACAACAGACAUUCAUGCCCUUUCCCUGUGCUUUGGGAAUGAAAAGUGCACCAAGGGCUGUUAGUGGGAAAGCCUGGACCCCUAGGGCCAGAGACGAAGACUAGAGUCCCAGCCUGGCGCUCCUCAUGUCCUUCUCCAACAUCGACUCCAUUUGAUAAUUUAGCAAAGAGGUGAUGAUGGCAAGGUGUGCUGUCGAUCCGGUGAACAGACCGGUGCUCCAGAUUCUGCAAAGAUUUGCUUCACGUUUUCAUUUUCUUUGUCGAAGUGCGAUAACCAUGCUGCUCGUUUCCCCGGAAGCAAGAACCUGACACUUCACCCUUUGGGGUUCCGUGACACGCAGAGAGUCAACUGAGGAAACUCACUAUUGCGAAUGAUGGCUAUUUGGAAAAUCCUUCCCUCCAAAGGAAGAAAAUGGAUUUACAAUUUUUAGGUCUGUAUACAUAUGCAGAUGUACAUAUGCAUAUACGUAUCUGUAAUAAAAGAUGAGUAUAGGGGCGCCUGGGUGGCUCAG
Mustela erminea (ermine) is the source of this 1341-nucleotide long non-coding RNA. RefSeq lists it as uncharacterized. Lineage: Eukaryota; Metazoa; Chordata; Mammalia; Carnivora; Mustelidae. The record is from RefSeq and is a predicted model, not a curated record. The transcript has 3 exons.